RNAcentral lists this ribosomal RNA (497 nucleotides) under uncultured bacterium. RNAcentral's name for it is "partial 16S ribosomal RNA". It matches the Rfam family "Bacterial small subunit ribosomal RNA", at positions 28 to 507 of the family's 1533-position model. The record is from RNAcentral.
GAUGAACGCUGGCGGCGUGCCUAAUACAUGCAAGUCGAGCGAACGGACGAGAAGCUUGCUUCUCUGAUGUUAGCGGCGGACGGGUGAGUAACACGUGGAUAACCUACCUAUAAGACUGGGAUAACUUCGGGAAACCGGAGCUAAUACCGGAUAAUAUUUUGAACCGCAUGGUUCAAAAGUGAAAGACGGCCUUGCUGUCACUUAUAGAUGGAUCCGCGCUGCAUUAGCUAGUUGGUAAGGUAACGGCUUACCAAGGCAACGAUGCAUAGCCGACCUGAGAGGGUGAUCCGCCACACUGGAACUGAGACACGGUCCAGACUCCUACGGGAGGCAGCAGUGGGGAAUCUUCCGCAAUGGGCGAAAGCCUGACGGAGCAACGCCGCGUGAGUGAUGAAGGUCUUCGGAUCGUAAAACUCUGUUAUUAGGGAAGAACAUAUGUGUAAGUAACUGUGCACAUCUUGACGGUACCUAAUCAGAAAGCCACGGCUAACUACGUG